CUCCCCUCCCCGGCCCAACUGCCCCCGCGCUGACCAGCCACCGGAUCGGCCCAUCGCCAUCCUCCCACGCGUGGCCGGCGUCGAAUCCGCGCGUCGCCGUCCCUCCCAACCACAGGGUCGAGGGGCUGCUGGAUCCUCCCCGUGGUCGUCCUCCCGCGGCUUCCCGACGACGGAUGCGCCUAGCGGGCCCGGAUGGGAAUGGGUCGUGGUCUCCUCGCCGAGUUGAUGGCCAUCGACGGCAGACUCCAGCGACCUCAUACGUGCCACCACGCUUCGGCCACUUCCAGCGGCGCCGCCGGCCAUGCCCCUACUCCUCCUCUACCCCCUGAACCUCUGCCUUCCCCUUCACCAGCGCCUGCUCUGGCCGCCCACCGCUCCCCUGCAACCGAAGCAGUUCUUCCGAGCGACCCCCGCAGCUCUCUCCUCCCCCAUGUGCAGAUCGCCGACAACACGCCCCUUCCUUGCCACAUUUUAUUUGGGCAACCUCAGUAGAUAUCGCCUGUUGUUGCAAUCCAUCCCACGGGCACCUUCAGUACGCAUCGCCCCCACCUGGAUUAAAACUUCUGGCUCUCCUGGAUCUAACUGCCACUGGUGGUUUUUUUUCAGAAGCAGUGCAACAACGUGCAUUCCCAUGGCGUCCUUUAUGCAGUGCGGAUGGGCGAGGCUUGCAUUAUACUUGUGUUGGCAGAAGGUUCUCUAGCUGGGUGAUGAAGUUCGCCGGAGGAAAACAGGGCGUUGCCCCCUAAUACACUUCGGCUGGGAGACCGUUGAUGUUGGUGAAGUCAUGUUUGUGUGUGUCGUGUGUAUAUAAUUUCUUUUUCUCUAUUUUUAUAUGCAUGUUUGCUUGUGGAAACUUAUAUUAAACGUCUCUUCAUUAUUAUUUGCAUCAUUUAUGCAAUGCACUUA
This is a long non-coding RNA of Triticum aestivum (bread wheat), 906 nucleotides long. RefSeq lists it as uncharacterized. The record is from RefSeq and is a predicted model, not a curated record. NCBI's taxonomy places the organism in Eukaryota, Viridiplantae, Streptophyta, Magnoliopsida, Poales, Poaceae. The transcript is spliced from 2 exons.